RNAcentral lists this long non-coding RNA (978 nucleotides) under Ornithorhynchus anatinus (platypus). RNAcentral describes it as "lncRNA (ENSOANG00000044724.1)". Lineage: Eukaryota; Metazoa; Chordata; Mammalia; Monotremata; Ornithorhynchidae. The record is from RNAcentral.
AUAGAAGGAGGGUGUACCCUGCUAUUGGGCUGCGAUGCUGCUUUGGGAAGAAGAACGGCCUAGACGAAUCAGAAGGUCAUGGAUUCUUAUCCCGGCUCCGCCACUUGUCUGCGGUGUGACCUUGGGCAGGUCACCUGACCUCUGUGUGCCUCAGUUUCCUCAACUGCAAAAUGGGGAUUCAUAGAGCCCAAUUAUCCGAAGGCCAUGCUGCUCCCUGGAGUUUCCAGUCUCAUGGAGAGGGAUGCAAAGUGUAAACCUGCCACAGGAACAAGUACAAGAGCAGCGAUUCAACUGAGAAAACCAAAACUGUGCUGGCAGGACCGCCCUUCAUUUUUUCAGACGUUAAGACCUGCCUCAGCUAUUUCUUCGGGACAGCAUCCAAAUUGGAAGUACUGCUCUUAUCUAGAGCACAGGAAAGUUGUUAUGAGGAACCCCAUGUUCAAACCCCUGCGUGAUUUUGAGGUCGUACGGAUCCGACGGUGGCUAUCUAAAGUCGCCCUUUCGAGCAACAACAGAACAUUUGGAAAGGUGUCGCCAUCCGUUGUGAGAAUGCAGGCGAGUUCUCUUUCUCUGCGAGGGAGUGUCGCCGGCCAUUUCCAUAAUUGGUUUCUCUGUUUACCAGUUUGGGAAGCUAAGGACAUUGAUGGCAUCGUAUUGAUCCUCUUUCUCAGAAGGAAUUAUCCACAGGAAAAAAGAAUCGCUUCUGUAAAGUCGUCACCGUUUACGAGAGCCACAAAACUACUUUUUCUGGCCUCUUUCAAAUCAGAGGUUGAAUUCUGGUGUGCAGACUCUAGGAAAGGGAGUCGAUCCGAACGAGAGGAUGAAGAGUCCUUAAUGGAGCUUGGAAAAACAACGAAUACCUAUAAAUCAAAGAAGAAAAGCCGUUUUUGAUGCAUUUGUCUGAGAGUUAUUGUCAUUCCCAAAACAGAUGUCCCCCGGUCUUCUCAGAGACUCCUUCGCUAGAGAACAAUGCCGACC